Molecule: ribosomal RNA, 440 nt
Filed under: uncultured Arcobacter sp.
Lineage: Bacteria; Pseudomonadati; Campylobacterota; Epsilonproteobacteria; Campylobacterales; Arcobacteraceae
Description: bacterial SSU rRNA
Rfam family: Bacterial small subunit ribosomal RNA
Source: RNAcentral
CCUACGGGGGGCUGCAGUGGGGAAUAUUGCACAAUGGACGAAAGUCUGAUGCAGCAACGCCGCGUGGAGGAUGACACAUUUCGGUGCGUAAACUCCUUUUAUAUGAGAAGAUAAUGACGGUAUUAUAUGAAUAAGCACCGGCUAACUCCGUGCCAGCAGCCGCGGUAAUACGGGGGGUGCAAGCGUUACUCGGAAUCACUGGGCGUAAAGAGCAUGUAGGCGGAUUAAUAAGUUUGAAGUGAAAUCCUAUAGCUUAACUAUAGAACUGCUUUGAAAACUGUUAAUCUAGAAUGUGGGAGAGGUAGAUGGAAUUUCUGGUGUAGGGGUAAAAUCCGUAGAGAUCAGAAGGAAUACCGAUUGCGAAGGCGAUCUACUGGAACAUUAUUGACGCUGAGAUGCGAAAGCGUGGGGAGCAAACAGGCUUAGAUACCCUAGUAGUC